Molecule: ribosomal RNA, 468 nt
Filed under: uncultured bacterium
Lineage: Bacteria
Description: partial 16S ribosomal RNA
Rfam family: Bacterial small subunit ribosomal RNA
Source: RNAcentral
GACGAACGCUGGCGGCGUGCUUAACACAUGCAAGUCGAACGGAAAGGCCCUGCUUUUGUGGGGUGCUCGAGUGGCGAACGGGUGAGUAACACGUGAGUAACCUGCCCUUGACUUUGGGAUAACUUCAGGAAACUGGGGCUAAUACCGGAUAGGAGCUCCUGCUGCAUGGUGGGGGUUGGAAAGUUUCGGCGGUUGGGGAUGGACUCGCGGCUUAUCAGCUUGUUGGUGGGGUAGUGGCUUACCAAGGCUUUGACGGGUAGCCGGCCUGAGAGGGGGACCGGCCACAUUGGGACUGAGAUACGGCCCAGACUCCUACGGGAGGCAACGGAGGGGAAGAUUGCACAAUGGGCGGGAGCCUGAUGCAACAACGCCGCGUGCGGGAUGACGGGCUUCGGGUUGUAAACCGAUUUCGCCUGUGACGGAGCGUGAGUGACGGUAAUGGGUAAGGAAGCACCGGCUAACUACGUG